CCCUACGGGAGGCAGCAGUAGGGAAUCUUCCGCAAUGGACGAAAGUCUGACGGAGCAACGCCGCGUGAGUGAAGAAGGUCUUCGGAUCGUAAAGCUCUGUUGUUAGGGAAGAACAAGUAUCGGAGGAAAUGCCGGUACCUUGACGGUACCUGACGAGAAGC
Molecule: ribosomal RNA, 161 nt
Filed under: uncultured bacterium
Lineage: Bacteria
Description: partial 16S ribosomal RNA
Rfam family: Bacterial small subunit ribosomal RNA
Source: RNAcentral